GAGGGAUCAUUACACAAAUAUGAAGGCGGGCUGGAACCUCUCGGGGUUACAGCCUUGCUGAAUUAUUCACCCUUGUCUUUUGCGUACUUCUUGUUUCCUUGGUGGGUUCGCCCACCACUAGGACAAACAUAAACCUUUUGUAAUUGCAAUCAGCGUCAGUAACAAAUUAAUAAUUACAACUUUCAACAACGGAUCUCUUGGUUCUGGCAUCGAUGAAGAACGCAGCGAAAUGCGAUAAGUAGUGUGAAUUGCAGAAUUCAGUGAAUCAUCGAAUCUUUGAACGCACAUUGCGCCCUUUGGUAUUCCAAAGGGCAUGCCUGUUCGAGCGUCAUUUGUACCCUCAAGCUUUGCUUGGUGUUGGGCGUCUUGUCUCUAGCUUUGCUGGAGACUCGCCUUAAAGUAAUUGGCAGCCGGCCUACUGGUUUCGGAGCGCAGCACAAGUCGCACUCUCUAUCAGCAAAGGUCUAGCAUCCAUUAAGCCUUUUUUCAACUUUUGACCUCGGAUCAGGUAGGGAUACCCGC
RNAcentral lists this ribosomal RNA (522 nucleotides) under uncultured Alternaria. RNAcentral's name for it is "eukaryotic LSU rRNA". The stretch from base 178 to 331 matches the Rfam family "5.8S ribosomal RNA". The record is from RNAcentral. Lineage: Eukaryota; Fungi; Ascomycota; Dothideomycetes; Pleosporales; Pleosporaceae.